CAGCCGUAAACAAUGUGCGUUAGGUAUGUCGGUAACCACGUGUUACUGAUGUGCCGAAGAGAAAUCGUGAAACGCACCACCUGGGAAGUACGGUCGCAAGGCUGAAACUUAAAGGAAUUGGCGGGGGGAGGCACCACAACAGGUGGAGCCUGCGGUUUAAUUGGAUUCAACGCCGGACAUCUCACCGGAUAAGACAGCUGAAUGAUUGUCAACCUGAAGGUUUUACAUGACUAGCUGAGAGGUGGUGCAUGGCGUCAGUGACU
RNAcentral lists this ribosomal RNA (263 nucleotides) under uncultured archaeon. Its description in RNAcentral is "partial 16S ribosomal RNA". It matches the Rfam family "Archaeal small subunit ribosomal RNA", at positions 748 to 1008 of the family's 1478-position model. The record is from RNAcentral.